This 3336-nucleotide long non-coding RNA is filed under the name Homo sapiens (human). RNAcentral describes it as "HSALNT0039145". The record is from RNAcentral. Lineage: Eukaryota; Metazoa; Chordata; Mammalia; Primates; Hominidae.
ACUGCAGAGUAGUCUUCAUAGUCACGAUGCGCUGUGCUGAGGCUGCUGCUUAGAAAGGUGGGGCUUCUUCUCCCUGCUUACCCACGUGUCUGGCUGAUCUCUCAGCUCAGCUGCAGGAGCUUGUUGGUCCUGAAGAGUGGUCUGUCUUUAUUUGCUGAUACUUAAACUUUCCUUCUUGAAAACUGAAUCACUGCUAUUUGGUGCACAUUUUCACCCAGUCUGAGUGCCACCUUACAUCUUUCAUUCUGCAUCUUGAGAAUUCUGUUUUACAGUCAGAGGUGACAACUAGAUCAGAGCAUUGACUGCUCCCAAUUUCGCUUUUACAAAAGAGAGCAAAGGAAGUGGUGAUGUUAGGUUUGGGGGUGAUGAUAAAGUCAGAGAGGGGAACUCCCACUGAAGCCCACAUUAUGAAAAGAGCUGAACCAACUUGUACUCUUGAUCUCCCCUUAAAAGCUGGUUUUGUACCUGAAUGGAGAGAAGUGCAGAUAUUAGAGACCUGGCUGAUGUCUGGUGCUUCAUUGCCCUGAAUAGACAGAAAAAUGCAGACCCUUGGGAAGCAAAGUGCUUGACAGAGCUGAAAGUGAACAGCAGAGGCUGGGAGGAAGCAGGACCAAACAAAUCCAGAAAUCCUCCAAGGCUGUAGCCCUAGGCCCAGCAGGUGGUGGUCAGGACAAAGUAGGAGCAUGUACAGUGUUGAGAUCAGAGUCUUGGGAAAGCACCUGUUACAGGUCAGAGUGAAGGAUGAUCCCAGAAACAAGUCAGACAAGAGGCAGGUGAGACAGCCAGCAAAGAAAGACACAUGAAGCAAAUGGAGCCACACGUGAUGAUCAUACUGAUCUCUGCUAAAUCAAGCUACAGCACACAGGAGUCCCAAAGCUUGCUGGGCCUUCUCUCACCUGCAUGUUCACUCUUAUUAAAUUAUGAUGAGCCCUCUGACAAACUGUCAUAUUUGAAGGACCUUUUACCAGAGAAGAGGAGGGGGAGGAAGAGAGAAAUCAAAAAAGAUAAGCAAAAGGGCUGGGCUUGCUGUGUGAUCACAGAUAAAAUACCAAACAGUUAAAUAAUGCUGGAGGGUGACCUCUUAUGUGACCCAAUCAGAGAUUUGACAUUUAUCUCCUGAAUGUGACAUCCCAUCUCAUCAAGGAUUUGGGACAGUGGGGAUGAGGAGACACGUUCUCUCUCCCUUUCCUUGCUCAGCCUUGUUCUCUCUGUUUACUCUUUGGGCUUCAGUGCACUUUUGUGGCCAAGCCCAGUUUGUGGCCUGCCCCUUGCAUGGCCAUCUCUGCAGUAUCAGUGAAAACUCAACAGCCCCUCUGUGUGGCCACACUUUUUUUCUUUUCUAAAAACAAUGAGAUACUUAUAUCCACCCCAUGCAAAUUCCUCCAGGAUAUUGCUCUUGAGUCAUCCUUGAGAAAUUUCCGUCUUGAAACAUGUCUAUCUCCAUGUUGGGAAAUUUAAUUAGUACUCCUAUUGUAGGGAUUAGGGAAAGCACAACUACACUUUUCAUCAGCUUCAAUGAUUUCACCAAAGGGCAUUUAUUUACUUAGUUAUACCAGCUGUUUGUUCACCAGAUACCGUCUCCUUUGACCCUAUGUGCACACAAACCCACGCACAGCGGAUGUUGACUAUGAGAACUGAUAAUAUCACACCCAUUUUAGAUACAUCAUUGAGGCAAAAAGGGACAUUUAUGGGAGAUAUUUUUCUUUUUGUUGUGGAAAUUCUGACAAUCUCAUUUUAUUUUCUCAUUCAAAUUAUUAAAUGAUUCUCUCUCUCUCUCUCUCUGCUUACAUAGGGGUCAUCAUUUGUUCUUUUAAUCCAUUUCAAGAGCAUGUCCCCUUUUGCCGUAUUCAGGGAUGAUUGCCCCCUACCUGAACCCCAUCUUGCUCCAACAAACAAGUCAUAUAAUCAGAGAUCGCACUCUUAGUCAAAAGUCUGACCAGUUAAAGAAUUAAUUGCCUGCGCCAGGGAGUAUGGAAAGCAAAAAAGAAACUCUGUUAUGAUUUCUAUAGAUGGAAGGAGAAAUGCACUAUUUGAAUGAUAGAGUUUAAUUGUCAUUAUCUAGAAAAGAUACUUCAUUUAAACUUCUCCUUUACUUAAAAUAAACACCUCAAUGCUCACAUUCCUGCCUGGAACAUUUUUAGCAAUAACUGCUGGUUGUCAAUGACAACAAUCAUAUUUAAUUGUUCAUCCUGACAUGCUCCAGCACUCUAUUAAGCACAGAUUACUAUAGAUUGAAUAAAUGAAUAGCAAAGAUGCUGGCCAAGAGCUCUGAACGUAUCAGUGGAAAUAAUGAAUUGCAUCAUCCUUCCAUGAAAAUGCAGGAAGGGCCAACACAGGUCAAGAGCUUGUUAGAGUUUCAGGUUGUCCAUUUUGACUGAAUUAAAAAGAAAGCAAGUUUAUUAUGGAUUAUACAUGUAAGCAGGGAGAGGAUGAAGGUCAAAUUUCUUGAUUAGGUAUUAUUUAGCUAUUUUACCAUAUCUCAAAGUUAUAAUUCAGAAAUGAAAUGAAGUGUAUCUUGUUUCUUAUAUGAAUUUUUAAAAGGUACACAGUAGAUAGUCUUACUGAAUUUUAGUUUAAUUGCACUUUCAUCUCAAUAUUAUUAUUUUAUCAAGCCAGAUAAGUAAAUAAUAUCCUUUCAUCAGGUAUCAGAGCACAGUUGUAAUAUAAAUGGGAUUAGCAUAAUGAAUGCCUUUGGAGAAAAUUAUAAAAUGUCCUUUCAUGCACAUACAGUUUUAUAAACAUGACUUUCCUUUGUUUUAAUUCAAUCUCUGAUGGAAAUGCACAAAUUUUAAAAUUCUGGGAAGAACAAACUUAUCUGAUCAUUUUUAAGUAAUUGAUAGAUCACAGUAGAAUUAUGUUUUUCUUUUAAGUGAUGAGGAUAGAAAAUUUGAGUUGUUUAAUUAGACAUGUGACUGAACCCAGACGUAAGGGGAUCACUUUGGUGCCCUGGAAAGUACUUUGUACUGAAUGGGGAAGUCCAGAUAUCAUAUUCUGGUGUUGGGCUAAAUACUAAUUACAAAACCAUCAGACAAAAUUAUUGUUAUUAUUAUUUUGCAGCAAGUGACUGUUAACAUUGAAUGUGUGUUAUCAACUUAAAAGUCUAUUCUUUCUUGAAAAUAUGUGUCAUAAAUAUUUUCUCCUCAAAGAAUAAACACACCUUUUAUAAAUGAGUUGAUUUAUUACUGAACUAUCUAUUUAUGACAGCAUGCUUCUUCCAUUUAUCCAAUAAUUAUUUGGUUAACAAUCACAUUUCAUAGGCUUAAUGUUUUAUAAUUGUUUUGGUAAACCUCCUGAAUAUCUCUAUGUGUACAGAAAGCAGGGAAUGGGCAUUUUAAG